Long non-coding RNA from Amblyraja radiata (thorny skate), 77 nucleotides. RefSeq lists it as uncharacterized. The record is from RefSeq and is a predicted model, not a curated record. The transcript has 3 exons. NCBI's taxonomy places the organism in Eukaryota, Metazoa, Chordata, Chondrichthyes, Rajiformes, Rajidae.
GGUCAAAAGCAGGCAGAUGGGACUAGUAUAGAUGGAGCAUGUCGGUCGGCAGGGGCAAGUUGGGCUGAGGGCCUGUU